UACGUAGGGAGCAAGCGUUGUCCGGAAUUACUGGGUGUAAAGGGAGCGUAGGCGGGGGAACAAGUUGAAUGUGAAAACUAUGGGCUCAACCCAUAACGUGCGUUCAAAACUGUAUCUCUUGAGUGAAGUAGGGGCAGGCGGAAUUCCUGGUGUAGCGGUGAAAUGCGUAGAUAUCAGGAGGAACAUCAGUGGCGAAGGCGGCCUGCUGGGCUUUAACUGACGCUGAGGCUCGAAAGCGUGGGUAGCAAACA
RNAcentral lists this ribosomal RNA (251 nucleotides) under uncultured bacterium. Its description in RNAcentral is "partial 16S ribosomal RNA". It matches the Rfam family "Bacterial small subunit ribosomal RNA", at positions 524 to 774 of the family's 1533-position model. The record is from RNAcentral.